GAGUUUGAUCCUGGCUCAGGAUGAACGCUAGCGGCAGGCUUAACACAUGCAAGUCGAACGGUAACAUAGGAAGCUUGCUUUCUGAUGACGAGUGGCGAACGGGUGCGUAACGCGUAUGCAAUCUACCCUUAACUGAGGGAUAGCCCAGAGAAAUGAGGAUUAAUAUUCCAUAACACAAUAUUUUCGCCAUGUUCUUGUAAUUAAAACUCCGGUGGUUAAGGAUGAGCAUGCGUGACAUUAGCUAGUUGGUAAGGUAAUGGCUUACCAAGGCUACGAUGUCUAGGGGGUCUUAAAGGAUGGUCCCCCACACUGGUACUGAGACACGGACCAGACUCCUACGGGAGGCAGCAGUGAGGAAUAUUGGUCAAUGGACGAAAGUCUGAACCAGCCAUGCCGCGUGAAGGAUGAAUGCCCUACGGGUUGUAAACUUCUUUUAUUUGGGAAGAAACCCUUCUACGUGUAGAGGGCUGACGGUACCAUUUGAAUAAGCACCGGCUAACUCCGUGCCAGCAGCCGCGGUAAUACGGAGGGUGCAAGCGUUAUCCGGAUUUAUUAGGUUUAAAGGGUCCGCAGGCGGAAAAUUAAGUCAGUGGUGAAAGCCCAUAGCUCAACUAUGGAACUGCCAUUGAUACUGAUUUUCUUGAAUGUGAUUGAAGUGGGCGGAAUAUGUCAUGUAGCGGUGAAAUGCUUAGAUAUGACAUAGAACACCGAUAGCGAAGGCAGCUCACUAAGUCAUCAUUGACGCUGAGGGACGAAAGCGUGGGGAGCGAACAGGAUUAGAUACCCUGGUAGUCCACGCCGUAAACGAUGAUCACUAGCUAUUGGCGAUAUACUGUCAGUGGCAAAGCGAAAGUGUUAAGUGAUCCACCUGGGGAGUACGAUCGCAAGGUUGAAACUCAAAGGAAUUGACGGGGGCCCGCACAAGCGGUGGAGCAUGUGGUUUAAUUCGAUGAUACGCGAGGAACCUUACCAGGGCUUAAAUGUAUAUUGACGUAUUUGGAAACAAGUAUUUCUUCGGACAAUUUACAAGGUGCUGCAUGGCUGUCGUCAGCUCGUGCCGUGAGGUGUCAGGUUAAGUCCUAUAACGAGCGCAACCCUUAUCUUUAGUUGCCAGCGAGUAAUGUCGGGGACUCUAAAGAAACUGCCCGCGUAAGCGGUGAGGAAGGUGGGGACGAUGUCAAGUCAUCACGGCCCUUAUGCCCUGGGCCACACACGUGCUACAAUGGUAGGUACAGAGGGCAGCUACCUGGCGACAGGAUGCUAAUCUCUAAAACUUAUCUCAGUUCGGAUUGGAGUCUGAAACUCGACUCUAUGAAGCUGGAAUCGCUAGUAAUCGCGCAUCAGCCAUGGCGCGGUGAAUACGUUCCCGGGCCUUGUACACACCGCCCGUCAAGCCAUGGAAGCUGGGAGUGCCUGAAGUCGGUAACCGUAAGGAGCUGCCUAGGGUAAAACUGGUGACUGGUGUUAAGUCGUAACAAGGUAACC
Molecule: ribosomal RNA, 1485 nt
Filed under: uncultured prokaryote
Description: partial 16S ribosomal RNA
Rfam family: Bacterial small subunit ribosomal RNA
Source: RNAcentral